CAGGGCGCUUUGUUAAGAGCCGCGCGUGAUUACGGACCGAUCGUGCGGAUUCGAAGUGAUCAUUUUAUUGGAUUUUUUUUUCAUCUCUGGUUUUCAUUCGAGACAAUUAUGUAAAUCAAGUGGUUUAAUUUCGAAUUGUUUUGUCAAAGUGACAUUUGUCAUUUUCCGGCGUAAAUCGUGAUCGCGUGUUUGCGUGUGUUGUGUGAAUACGACAUAGAAAGAGAGAGAGAGAAAGAUUAAAAAAGUAUUGGAAACCUACAGUACUUUUAGUGGGUUUCAUCGUUGACGCUUUUCUACCCGUUUAAUCGACCUUUGACAAACGUAACAGAUUGACAUUCGUUCGUCUAUUAAAAAUCGAAUCUUUCUACAAUCACUUACAAAUAAUAUGUAAUGUCGUGAACUUUUUUCGUAAUUGUUUUUUCGAUCGAUUUUUGGCGCCUUUUUGAAGUUACUAAGUUAAGUACAGUGCAUAGAUAUUAACAUGUAAAUGUGAAUAAUGAGAAACGGUCUAUUGUACUAAGAAGUAUAGUGACAUUACGAAGAGACAACUAUGAAGAUUAUUUCUUAUGAUAAAAACAAAAUUUACUUCGAUUAGUGUACAGUGAAAGUUUAUCUUUAAAAUCGUUCAAAAAUGCCACGUAAAAAAUUGACGAUCUUCGCAGAUUAUGAGUGCGUCGAUCCUAGUGCGCGCGAAAAUUUGAAAAGAAAUUAUCUUUGUUAAAUACUUUGAUUAAUUUUUUUAUUCAAGGAAAUUAGUUCAUUGUUGUGUUACCUUGAAGAACUUUUAAUUAUGGACUUUUGCUAAUGUGUUUGUGUGAACUUGUGUCUAGACAAAUGAUUCGGACGUUGAAAAUAAAACAUGUCAAUGAAUUUUUGAAUAACUAGAAGAUCGAACGAAGUGUUAUCGUGUUACUUUUAAGGAUAUCUGAAGAAAAAGAAGAAAGAAUAUUGAAUAUCAA
Long non-coding RNA from Polistes dominula (European paper wasp), 959 nucleotides. Lineage: Eukaryota; Metazoa; Arthropoda; Insecta; Hymenoptera; Vespidae. The record is from RefSeq and is a predicted model, not a curated record.